Molecule: unclassified non-coding RNA, 258 nt
Filed under: Hevea brasiliensis (rubber tree)
Lineage: Eukaryota; Viridiplantae; Streptophyta; Magnoliopsida; Malpighiales; Euphorbiaceae
Source: RNAcentral
AAAUAGUGGAUCACAUACAAGCUCUAUUAAGGCUAUCCAAAGAAGCUUAACAUGAGUUGAUGUCUAAAUCUAUUCAUUUUCCACCAUUAGCUUCUAAAUACCAUGAAUAAGACUUCUCUAUGCCUGUUUUGUCAUUGGCUAAGUCCUUAUUAAAAUUGUACCUCCAUAUGCCUUAAAAUGCUUAAUGUGUGCUUUAACUUUUUUUUGUGCUCAAUUCACCUCUUUAUGCUUUAUAAGCUCUUCCAUGCUCUUAUAAAC